UCCUGGAAUAUGUCCAAU
This 18-nucleotide small nuclear RNA is filed under the name Arabidopsis thaliana (thale cress). RNAcentral describes it as "snRNA_17864". The record is from RNAcentral. Lineage: Eukaryota; Viridiplantae; Streptophyta; Magnoliopsida; Brassicales; Brassicaceae.